AAUCCAAUUUGGUUGACAGAUGACACAAAAUCAGAAUGUGUGGCUACUCACAAAAACUUCGAAUCUCAUAAAAUCUUUGGACAACGUUGUGAUGAACGCUGCGAUACAUACUGUAUUCAUGACGACGGGGUCAAUCUUAGUUUUCAUGGUUUCAACGUUUGGGAGGAUGCUCGGACAAUUUGUCGCAGCCUAAAUAGUUCUCUUCUUAAUGAAAAGUUUACAAUCUCGUAUCCAACGCAAGUCCAAGAUAAACGUGCAGUCUGUCUAUCUGUUUUUAAAAGUUCAUCUGUUUCAUUUCAACCUGUCAUCAAGCUUGCAAGAAAUGAAAAUGGAACUAUAACUAUCCACGAUUCUACCGGAGACACACGACAGUAUCUGUGUGGCGGGAAAAUAGAAAAAUCUAAUUCCGGAGAAAGUGGUACAUGUUUAGGGGCAUUUGAUUUCAAUGUAUUCCACGCGAGGGGUACAGCUACAGAAUCAUCGGAAUUAACAAGAAAGACGCAACCAGAACAAGACAAUAGUAAAGCUUUCAUUACAUUUUGCAUUUUCAUGCAUGAGGAUCUUCAUUUCUAAUUGUGAAACAAGAGGCUCAUGGGCCACAUCGCUCACCUGAGCACUGUGGCUAGGAAAAAGUAGAAAUUAGUUUAUUAUUGAAAAGUUAAAUUUGAUAUAGUCCCAUGACCAAUCAUGGCUUUGCUAUUCUUGAGAAGAUGAUUUAAAUAA
Long non-coding RNA from Saccostrea cuccullata (small rock oyster), 723 nucleotides. RefSeq lists it as uncharacterized. The transcript is spliced from 3 exons. NCBI's taxonomy places the organism in Eukaryota, Metazoa, Mollusca, Bivalvia, Ostreida, Ostreidae. The record is from RefSeq and is a predicted model, not a curated record.